UUAAGCGACCAAGCGUACACGGUGGAUGCCCUGGCAGUCAGAGGCGAUGAAGGACGUGCUAAUCUGCGAAAAGCGCCGGCGAGGUGAUAUGAACCCUUGACCCGGCGAUGUCCGAAUGGGGAAACCCAGUGUGACUCGUCACACUAUCAUUAACUGAAUCCAUAGGUUAAUGAGGCGAACCGGGGGAACUGAAACAUCUAAGUACCCCGAGGAAAAGAAAUCAACCGAGAUUCCCCCAGUAGCGGCGAGCGAACGGGGAGGAGCCCAGAGCCUGAAUCAGCAGGUGUGUUAGUGGAAGUGUCUGGAAAGGCACGCGAUACAGGGUGAGAGCCCCGUACACGAAAAUGCACCUGCUGUGAGCUCGAUGAGUAGGGCGGGACACGUGGUAUCCUGUCUGAAUAUGGGGGGACCAUCCUCCAAGGCUAAAUACUCCUGACUGACCGAUAGUGAACCAGUACCGUGAGGGAAAGGCGAAAAGAACCCCGGCGAGGGGAGUGAAAAAGAACCUGAAACCGUGUACGUACAAGCAGUGGGAGCACAGGUUUACCUGUGUGACUGCGUACCUUUUGUAUAAUGGGUCAGCGACUUAUAUUCUGUAGCAAGGUUAACCGAAUAGGGGAGCCGGAGGGAAACCGAGUCUUAACCGGGCGUUAAGUUGCAGGGUAUAGACCCGAAACCCGGUGAUCUAGCCAUGGGCAGGUUGAAGGUUGGGUAACACUAACUGGAGGACCGAACCGACUAAUGUUGAAAAAUUAGCGGAUGACCUGUGGCUGGGGGUGAAAGGCCAAUCAAACCGGGAGAUAGCUGGUUCUCCCCGAAAGCUAUUUAGGUAGCGCCUCGUGAACUCAUCUCCGGGGGUAGAGCACUGUUUCGGCUAGGGGGCCAUCCCGGCUUACCAACCCGAUGCAAACUGCGAAUACCGGAGAAUGUUAUCACGGGAGACACACGGCGGGUGCUAACGUCCGUCGUGAAGAGGGAAACAACCCAGACCGCCAGCUAAGGUCCCAAAGUCAUGGUUAAGUGGGAAACGAUGUGGGAAGGCCCAGACAGCCAGGAUGUUGGCUUAGAAGCAGCCAUCAUUUAAAGAAAGCGUAAUAGCUCACUGGUCGAGUCGGCCUGCGCGGAAGAUGUAACGGGGCUAAACCAUGCACCGAAGCUGCGGCAGCGGCACGCAAGUGUUGUUGGGUAGGGGAGCGUUCUGUAAGCCGUUGAAGGUGUGCUGUGAGGCAUGCUGGAGGUAUCAGAAGUGCGAAUGCUGACAUAAGUAACGAUAAAGCGGGUGAAAAGCCCGCUCGCCGGAAGACCAAGGGUUCCUGUCCAACGUUAAUCGGGGCAGGGUGAGUCGACCCCUAAGGCGAGGCCGAAAGGCGUAGUCGAUGGGAAACGGGUUAAUAUUCCCGUACUUGGUGUUACUGCGAAGGGGGGACGGAGAAGGCUAUGUUGGCCGGGCGACGGUUGUCCCGGUUUAAGCGUGUAGGCUGGUUUUCCAGGCAAAUCCGGAAAAUCAAGGCUGAGGCGUGACGACGAGGCACCACGGUGCUGAAGCAACAAAUGCCCUGCUUCCAGGAAAAGCCUCUAAGCGUCAGGUAACAUCAAAUCGUACCCCAAACCGACACAGGUGGUCAGGUAGAGAAUACCAAGGCGCUUGAGAGAACUCGGGUGAAGGAACUAGGCAAAAUGGUGCCGUAACUUCGGGAGAAGGCACGCUGACAUGUAGGUGAAGCGGUUUACCCGUGGAGCUGAAGUCAGUCGAAGAUACCAGCUGGCUGCAACUGUUUAUUAAAAACACAGCACUGUGCAAACACGAAAGUGGACGUAUACGGUGUGACGCCUGCCCGGUGCCGGAAGGUUAAUUGAUGGGGUCAGCGCAAGCGAAGCUCCUGAUCGAAGCCCCGGUAAACGGCGGCCGUAACUAUAACGGUCCUAAGGUAGCGAAAUUCCUUGUCGGGUAAGUUCCGACCUGCACGAAUGGCGUAAUGAUGGCCAGGCUGUCUCCACCCGAGACUCAGUGAAAUUGAACUCGCUGUGAAGAUGCAGUGUACCCGCGGCAAGACGGAAAGACCCCGUGAACCUUUACUAUAGCUUGACACUGAACACUGGUCCUUGAUGUGCAGGAUAGGUGGGAGGCUUUGAAGCGUGGACGCCAGUCUGCGUGGAGCCGUCCUUGAAAUACCACCCUUUAAUGGCUGGUGUUCUAACGUGGGCCCCUGACCGGGGUUGCGGACAGUGUCUGGUGGGUAGUUUGACUGGGGCGGUCUCCUCCCAAAGAGUAACGGAGGAGCACGAAGGUUGGCUAAUCCUGGUCGGACAUCAGGAGGUUAGUGCAAUGGCAUAAGCCAGCUUGACUGCGAGCGUGACGGCGCGAGCAGGUGCGAAAGCAGGUCAUAGUGAUCCGGUGGUUCUGAAUGGAAGGGCCAUCGCUCAACGGAUAAAAGGUACUCCGGGGAUAACAGGCUGAUACCGCCCAAGAGUUCAUAUCGACGGCGGUGUUUGGCACCUCGAUGUCGGCUCAUCACAUCCUGGGGCUGAAGUAGGUCCCAAGGGUAUGGCUGUUCGCCAUUUAAAGUGGUACGCGAGCUGGGUUUAGAACGUCGUGAGACAGUUCGGUCCCUAUCUGCCGUGGGCGCUGGAAGAUUGAGGGGGGCUGCUCCUAGUACGAGAGGACCGGAGUGGACGCAUCACUGGUGUUCGGGUUGUCAUGCCAAUGGCACUGCCCGGUAGCUAAAUGCGGAAGAGAUAAGUGCUGAAAGCAUCUAAGCACGAAACUUGCCCCGAGAUGAAUCUUCCCUGAGACUUUAAGUCUCCUGAAGGAACGUUGAAGACGACGACGUUGAUAGGCCGGGUGUGUAAGCGCAGCGAUGCGUUGAGCUAACCGGUACUAAUGAACCGUGAGGCUUAACCUU
RNAcentral lists this ribosomal RNA (2903 nucleotides) under Salmonella bongori. RNAcentral describes it as "bacterial LSU rRNA". It matches the Rfam family "Bacterial large subunit ribosomal RNA". Lineage: Bacteria; Pseudomonadati; Pseudomonadota; Gammaproteobacteria; Enterobacterales; Enterobacteriaceae. The record is from RNAcentral.